GUGGUCCAGUGGUUAGAGCGUCCGCCUCUGAUGCAGAAGGUUGCUGGUUCAACCCCGGCCGAGUCA
Potamilus streckersoni is the source of this 66-nucleotide non-coding RNA. The record is from the annotation of a GenBank genome assembly. NCBI's taxonomy places the organism in Eukaryota, Metazoa, Mollusca, Bivalvia, Unionida, Unionidae.